Molecule: ribosomal RNA, 497 nt
Filed under: uncultured bacterium
Lineage: Bacteria
Description: partial 16S ribosomal RNA
Rfam family: Bacterial small subunit ribosomal RNA
Source: RNAcentral
GAUGAACGCUGGCGGCGUGCCUAAUACAUGCAAGUCGAGCGAACAGACGAGGAGCUUGCUCCUCUGACGUUAGCGGCGGACGGGUGAGUAACACGUGGAUAACCUACCUAUAAGACUGGGAUAACUUCGGGAAACCGGAGCUAAUACCGGAUAAUAUAUUGAACCGCAUGGUUCAAUAGUGAAAGACGGUUUUGCUGUCACUUAUAGAUGGAUCCGCGCCGCAUUAGCUAGUUGGUAAGGUAACGGCUUACCAAGGCAACGAUGCGUAGCCGACCUGAGAGGGUGAUCGGCCACACUGGCACUGAGACACGGUCCAGACUCCUACGGGAGGCAGCAGUAGGGAAUCUUCCGCAAUGGGCGAAAGCUUGACGGAGCAACGCCGCGUGAGUGAUGAAGGUCUUCGGAUCGUAAAACUCUGUUAUUAGGGAAGAACAAAUGUGUAAGUAACUAUGCACGUCUUGACGGUACCUAAUCAGAAAGCCACGGCUAACUACGUG